Callithrix jacchus (white-tufted-ear marmoset) is the source of this 108-nucleotide Y RNA. It matches the Rfam family "Y RNA". Rfam says of the family: Y RNAs are components of the Ro ribonucleoprotein particle (Ro RNP), in association with Ro60 and La proteins. The Y RNAs and Ro60 and La proteins are well conserved, but the function of the Ro RNP is not known. In humans the RNA component can be one of four small RNAs -- hY1, hY3, hY4 and hY5. The record is from Ensembl. NCBI's taxonomy places the organism in Eukaryota, Metazoa, Chordata, Mammalia, Primates, Cebidae.
GACUGAUCUGAAGGUAGUAAGUUAUCUCAAUUGAUUGUUCACAGUUACAGAUUCAACUCCUUGUUCUGCUCUUUCCCCCUUCUCACCAGGGCACUUGACUAGUCUAAA